GGCUGGUCUGAAGGUCAGAAGUUACCUCAAUUGAUUGUUCACAGUCAGUUACAGAUCAAACUCCUUGUUCUACCCUUUCCCCACUUCUCACUACUGCACUUUACUAGUCUUUA
Unclassified non-coding RNA from Rhinopithecus bieti (black snub-nosed monkey), 113 nucleotides. It matches the Rfam family "Y RNA". From Rfam's summary of the family: Y RNAs are components of the Ro ribonucleoprotein particle (Ro RNP), in association with Ro60 and La proteins. Lineage: Eukaryota; Metazoa; Chordata; Mammalia; Primates; Cercopithecidae. The record is from Ensembl.